This 253-nucleotide ribosomal RNA is filed under the name uncultured bacterium. Its description in RNAcentral is "partial 16S ribosomal RNA". It matches the Rfam family "Bacterial small subunit ribosomal RNA", at positions 524 to 776 of the family's 1533-position model. The record is from RNAcentral.
UACGUAGGGGGCAAGCGUUGUCCGGAUUUAUUGGGCGUAAAGAGCGUGUAGGCGGCUUUACAGGUCCGUUGUGAAAACUCGAGGCUCAACCUCGAGAGGUCGGUGGAAACCGUCUGGCUAGAGUCCGGAAGAGGAGAGUGGAAUUCCCGGUGUAGCGGUGAAAUGCGCAGAUAUCGGGAAGAACACCCGUGGCGAAGGCAGCUCUCUGGGACGGUACUGACGCUGAGACGCGAAAGCGUGGGGAGCGAACAGG